This 107-nucleotide small nucleolar RNA is filed under the name Cephalotus follicularis. Its description in RNAcentral is "Plant small nucleolar RNA R71". It matches the Rfam family "Plant small nucleolar RNA R71". Rfam says of the family: R71 is a member of the C/D box family of snoRNAs containing the C (UGAUGA) and D (CUGA) box motifs. Multiple nearly identical copies of this snoRNA have been identified in Arabidopsis, and it is thought to function as a 2'-O-ribose methylation guide for 18S ribosomal RNA. Lineage: Eukaryota; Viridiplantae; Streptophyta; Magnoliopsida; Oxalidales; Cephalotaceae. The record is from Rfam by way of RNAcentral.
AAACCAUGAUGAGGACAUUCUCUGAGAAGGUCUUUAAAACUUUCCAUGCAUCGAGAAAAAGAUUCAUUGGGUCAUUGGCAAAACUAGAGAAUGCCGUUCCUAAGUUU